UAUCUUGUAGCUCAAUGGUAGAGCGUCUGACUACUGUGAAGAAGGUCACAUGUUCGAUUACUGUUGAUAGAA
RNAcentral lists this transfer RNA (72 nucleotides) under Desmophyllum pertusum. RNAcentral's name for it is "tRNA-Ser". The record is from RNAcentral. Lineage: Eukaryota; Metazoa; Cnidaria; Anthozoa; Scleractinia; Caryophylliidae.